CAGAGGUGAAAAUGAAAAUAAUUAUAUUACACAAACUUGGCUGGACUUGUAUUUAUCAUUGAGGGUUAUAAAAGUGCAGAGGAGUGCGAUCUAUAAACAAUCACAGCUUUUUGCAAAGCAAGAAAAAAAAAGCACACACAACUAAGAGUAAAAUAUGCAUAAUGUAUACUUGUCAAAGAUCAGUUCAUUUAAAACAAUCCCUGAUAUGUUAAAAAGAAGGAUGAUUUAAAAUGUUUUAUUACACUUAUUUUUCUAUCAAAUGCCCUUUAAUUUAAUACACCGUCGAGCACUUAUUCUGCCCAUAUAAUGUAUUUCCUGUGAGAGAAGUUAAGUGGCAGUAAGAGUGCCAGGGAUAGUCAUAACCAUAUGUCUGCUAAAGCUCAUUAUAGUAUAGAGUAAGUGGUUGCAAUAGGUGCUAGAUAUAAACUAAUCAUUCUCCUCAUGUCAAUACAAGUAAUAUAAUUUAUUUUUCUACAUUACUGGAAUAUUACAUUUUCAUUUUGAAGUCAUUGAUCUUUUUCGUUGAAGUUGAAAUAUGUUAAUCCAGGCUACAUAUCAUAUGUAAAUAAACACCAUAAAUCAUACCUAACCAGAAAAAUGUAUUAUGCUCUCUGUAUAUAACAUGCAAAUCCAUGAGGCAUUGCUGCUACUCUGUUCUUAAUGUGCAGUAGACUGACAAUAAUGUAAUACAGCCAUUAUUGUUUUUAUUGUUUUGUCAUUUAGCGUUGGGCUAUCAGGGAUUAGGGAAAUAUAAGAUAUAUCUAUAACAGAUCUCAUAUUUAUAUUGGGUUUUUUUUCCAAACAACAGUGUCAUAAAUGGACUUCUCUAGCACACUCAUCUGUGUCACAAUCACUGAUGACUAUGAUGCUGAUUUUCAACCAGAAUACAAUGGAGUGUUAGAAUAGUCAUAUGUUUUUGCUGUUUUGGCUCUGAACUUGAUUUGAAAUGAAACAGUGACUAUAAAAGUACUUUGAGGGUGUUUACAUCCAUUUUUCCAUUUCAGAAGAACAGUGUAUAAAUCCCCUUUAGCAGAUGCAGGAAAAUGCAGCAGGACAGUAGUUCUAAACCCACACAACAACAACAAAAAGCUUUUCAUCAAAGAAUUUUAUGUUCUUGACUUAUCAUUUGUCCCAAGCAAAACUGAGGAUUUUAUCCCCAAGAAUAUACAGUCCGAAGAUCACAAGAAACUGCUCCAGUAGGUCUUGGGUCAUGGUAGUCUCAGGUCCCACUCACACGGCCUAGAAACGUGUGACUGUGUGACUGGGACCUGGGGCAGUGACCAUCUGGUAACUACUGGGACUUGAGUUGAUAGUGUGGCUUCUUUUCGGGUAAAUUUUAGGAUAAAACCUAUCAAGCCGCUAUGUCUAAUGGAUUAAAAGCCUGACAAAAAGGGUGACACAGAUUAAAAAUUAUACAUUCAAACAUACGAUCCCACAACUCCUUAGCACAACCUUGCCAUUCUCAAACCAUCCCCUAUUUAAAUUUGGCUGAGUUUAUAGAUCAUCGUUUUGGCAGCACUGCGGAACUUGUUAAAACUCAAUGCCGCAUAAUCUGAGGGUACGACGCGACACUGGGCAUGGGAAAACACAGGGCUUAAAUACACAGGGUAGUAAUGAGGAAAUGGGCCACAGAAGGGAGACACAGCUGGGAGAGAUCAGGGCUAACGAGACAUGGGGAACAAAGCUGCACACACUAACAUAAGACAAAGUCUUUCACAAUAAAACAGGAAACAUGAAUCACAACUCAGAGACAUGGACUCAACACAGAGACAGAAAAUGAAACAUGGAACUGAACUAUACAUGAAACCACCAUUCCUAAAACAUGGAUAAUAGAAACAUGAAACUCUAAUAAUGAUAAUAAUAAUAAUAAUAAUAAUAAUAAUAAACAUCACAACAAGAGAAUGAGAAACAAUCCAAAACACCAAGAUAACUGAAACACAAAGUACCAGAGAAACAAAGAAUAAUCCAUGAUGCAAAAGUGAACCAAAACAUAAUAAACUCAAAAUACUGGGUCCAACGGACCCAGAACCGUGACAGAGCAUACCUAAGACGUCAACACUGUGUGUUUGAUUAAUGACAUUGAUUUGAUGUUGGCACAUUGUGAACUCACAGCAGGAUACAUUGCAAGUGGUCAGAUAGGAGAGUCAAAGGAGUGAUCUAAAACCAGUACUGGAACUAAGGAAAUGACCUUAAAGGUGGAAAAAUGUCAAAUUUAAAUCAGGUAUUGUAGCAUUUGAGUUGUAUGGGGUGAGAUUAGAAGGUUUAUGAUCGUACCUUAAAUUUCUGAUACUGUUCUUUUCAUGUGGACGUAAACACCCAGAAGAUAAAGCUGAAGAUCACAACUUCUUGUCAUAGUCUGGCUAAUCAAUGAAAGGCAGUCCAAGAUUAGCUGAGUACAAAGCCAGUUCACAGCGUACAUAGGUGAGAGAAUUUAUGUAUAAAUCUUUCUAUAUGUUUGCUUGGUGUGAACCAAACGUACAUGCAUACAUAUAGACAGAAAAACAGUUUUGUCUCUGGCUGAUUUAAAUUUUUUAGAGUAGGUAGCAUACUUAAGACUGAUUCACAUUUAACCCAUAAAUUGUGUGUUUUUAAUUGCUGGUACAAUUAUCAUCAAACUAAAACACAAGAGCAAACAUAGUUUAUGUGUAAUGUGAGGGUCCAGCUUUUAGUUUUUAGCAUAUCGUUUGUAAUUUUUUAAUAUGUUUAAUAUAUUUUAAUAUGUGCAAUAGUUUGGGUUUUGCUGUCCAUAUUCAGCUAUGCUGAAGUGACUUUAUGGAUUCUGUUUGCUUGACUCUACCCAUCAGUUUAAAAACAUCGUUUUUUUCUUACUUAGAGAUGAUUCAACAACAAGGUCAACUGUCAUGAAAACCUAAGAGCAUUUUCAAGCACAGAUUUUCACAAGCUGUGAUUCGAAACGUUGCUGAACGGACAAAGAGGGAGACAUAUACCAAGACACCUGGUGGCCUUCUAGAGUAGACUAAAGACGUUGUUGCACAAUUUACAAAAAAAUAUAAUGUAAUACAGAAACACAGUAUUUUAAAUGAAAGAAAGUUAAUUAACUUACACGUAGAUCACAGUCACAAAUAAGGUGUCUGUCAUUAUUCAAGCAUUUGUUGUUUUUGUAGAUUUGUCUGGUCAGUUUUCAUCUUCGAAGCACAAGAGGUGAUUUUCAGUUCAGUAGAAAUGUGAAUUUUUUGAUAAAGAAUGACUGCAAUCUUGUUUUCAGACAGACGUAUGUAAAGGAUGGGAGAAUGAAUUGAUUAUAUGUUUGUUGACUGAGAUCAUUUUGGAUUGCACCUAUUAUGGUUUGUGAUUUUCUUGCCUGUGUGAAGUGAAGCCUGUGUACAUGACUGCAGGUCUUUUUAUUUUCCUCCUGCCUUUAUAAGCCUGCUAAUCGCAAAGAAUAUCAUAAUAUUCUAAUACAACAUGGCAGACCCGGCAGAUACUGUACGAAACAAAAAGGGGCGUCGGUUUUGAUGUAUGUUGAUCUGACACACACACACACACACACACACACACACACACACACACACACACACACACACACACACACACACACAUACAGAAAAACAACAAAUGAAAAUAAAAAAAGAAAAAAUGGUUCAGAAGCAUUGUGAGCAUGUUGGUAUACAAAACUUAUAACAGAUUUGACUUAGUCUGUUCUUGUGAAAAAGAUUAUGUUAAAAACUGAUAUUUGACAGAAAAAAAAGAAAAAAUGAAAAAAGAUAAGCACAACUGUGUUGAUAGUGUCUGUUGUUCCUCCACCGGUGUAUAACAUUAUCAAAUAAAAACUAAACUGCAGUUUGACUGAGCUCUGGCAAAACAAAGCAACUCUCAUCAGGAGCACAUAGCUCAUGGAAUAAAACUUCACCACAAAUUCUCCUGAAAGGUUAAAUCCUGCUUUAGUAACCGUGGCAUUAUGAAAGUCUUUAUUAUAUAAAUUAUAGAUUUACUUUUCAGAGUUCAUCAGAUUGAAUUGUCAAACAAUCACUGCUGGUGAGAGUUGCUCUGUAUUCAAGGCGUUACUUAUGUCUGCCUUUAGAGACAGUACAGUUCAUCUGAGAGUCUUUAGAUACGAAGCAUAUAGUAAUUUUAAAAAUGUAUGAGUACAACCAAUAAACCAGACAUUCUGUA
Long non-coding RNA from Astatotilapia calliptera (eastern happy), 4134 nucleotides. The record is from Ensembl. NCBI's taxonomy places the organism in Eukaryota, Metazoa, Chordata, Actinopteri, Cichliformes, Cichlidae.